UCUUUUUCCUUUAUCACCUCACGUUCUCAGGCUUCUGUUAGGUGUUAAGUUAAGUUAAGUUAAGAGUCUGCGACUCGCCGACUCUAGACUUGAAAUCAAAUUUGAUUCUGUCGAAGGUGUUAUUAAGCUUUGCAGAUACUGCGGAAGGAUCCAGAAAGCCUGCAGGUUGUUUGUAGGAUUUACAUUUGUUCUCUGGUGAAGAAGGAUUGUCAAGAUAGUGUGCUCUACCCGAACGUUGUUAGCUGCCAUCAUAUUAAAUGAGGAUACCACACACUGAGUUGACUUCGCUGUAGCUAUGCAACUAGGCUUGGCAGUGUCUUCAUCGGUUUAAAUUUGGCAAAACAAAUUCAUGUCAUAUUUGAGCAUCUAUUCUGUAUUCUCCAAGGGCGAUUUCUGUAGACAUACCCGGAUCCUUCCGGAUUACCGAAUGGGUUUCGGUGGAUUUUCCCCUUGCCAUCAGGGAUGGGCGUUGUCACUGUUCUCAAGGACUGUCACUUUCGCUUGAGUCUGUCGGAUUUUACAACAAGUUUGCAAGCAAACCUGAAGGUCCCACCGCCGAGUCCAUGAGACGAAACACAAACAAUAUAUUUCAACUACUUGUACCAAACCAACACCAGUGUGCAGACUGUGAUUACUUGAGAUUAUCCUCCCGAAUCUCCAAGUGAAUCUACAGACCCCUGACUCUCGGUACUAAUAUUAUGCAGAUUUGAGCCUUUUAAACAGGUGGAAACGGGAUUAAUUCAACGUCUAUGCUAGCCUCUAUUUGUUUUUGGCCGGGACAUCCAGGGGAAUCCUUCUGUAAAUUUAAGUAGUUAAUUUUCCGCUCAACGUUCAUUGUUCAAUUGUUUGAUUUAAUUUUGAUUGGAUUUAAUUAUUAAUGAAGUGCAUGGAAUACCGGAUUAUCGUCCAAUAGAGAUUGAUACCCUGGCGGCAGAUGAUGGCGACGACUCAUCCUUUGGAGUUUGCAUCACUUUGGAGAUGGCACGCUAAACACGACACGUUGUUAAGACCGUGCCGACGUGACCAAAUUAAAGGAAGGGGACAACGAAAUGCGAAUGCGACAUUAUACUAGGAUUACCCUACUGCACGGAAACGGGAUUGAAAUCAACAUUGCAGAGAAACUUAGUAAAACCCCCAAUUUGGCUCCCGUGCACACCAUUUUCCCGGAACUGAAGAUGAGAGCUGUCGUCCUAGGCUCACGGAUUCGCAUAAUCACGGCCGCGAAUCGUUUGGGGUUGUACUCUGCAUUGCGUGCGUGCAAUGCAAUUUGUUUCAGGUCCAACUUGCAUCCCAGAUUGACGGAACAAUUCCGGAACCAGCAGACGCUGGUGUGUAGGGUGUCGCUGGAGCGAUUGUUCUAGGACCAAAUAUUCCACCUUCCGGGGUUCCUUGUGACAUGGGCGAACCUGCAUUAACUGCACUUGAUCUUCGAUUUGGAGCAGAGACUACCAAUUGGACCGACCCCUAGCACGUGCGCGCCCUUUUCCUCUGAAGCUAUCGACAGUGGAACGUCAUCAAUCGGCAUGCGGUCGUCGACAGGCCGACAUCAUCAAUAUUUCCUGUUUUAUUUAAUAGUAGGUCAUAGGAGGUAGGGACAGGGAAGUAAAAUCGGAAAUUAUCGACAAGUACCUUUUCCUAUGAAUUUGGUUGAAGGUCACAGCGAAAAAUACGUAAAACUGUCAUGCGACGGAGGUUGGGUGAGAAAGAAACGUGUUACACCAUUAUCAAGUAGGUAGAAUUUCCGCAAGGCUUGAGAAAGGGUGAGAAAAAGUUGUAUAAAAGGAGAGAGGAAAGGCCUCAGACAUCAGUCGAGUGAGCAUCUCCCACACGGUAACAACUGCACCAACUGUAUUCUUCGUCGUAAUACCAAUUCGCAAAUAUGGUUAACUAUGGCGUCGUGCUGCUGCUGGAUGUUGUAUCUGCCUGUGAUGUGCCAGGAUUCAGUCGAUGGUCCUCUGAUGACAGGGUCUUUGAGCUGAGUCUCUACCAGCCACAACUCUACGACCAUUUACUUCACCGAGACUCCCCAGUACUACACCGAAAAGGCCGAAUAUUAAACCACCACGUUCGCUGCCCUAGUUUACUACACCGAGGGACCCAAGUAUGACUCUACUCCGAGCUACUACCUGACAGAGGCUUCUGUUAACUACACCACCAACGCACCCGAGUGCUACACGACAACCUAAGCUGCCCCCAAGUACAACACUGAAGCUCCGACGUACUACACCAUCAAGUCACAACCAGUUCGCAAUCAUGGUUAAUUUUGGUGUCGUGUUGCUGUUGAGGGUCCUAUCGCUUAUAGCGGGUCGACCACUGUGUUCUUCCAAUUCUUAAUCAAAGUGAGUUAUGGCGUCGUGCUCCUGUCGACUGUUGUAUCGUUUAUGGCUGAGUCAACCACUUGUGUACCGAUGUCUCCUGGGUAUGGCGGGUACCUAAUUGCAACGCCGCCGUCUCACUACACACAACAUUAACAUACGCAACGACCUGUUAGGCUCCGAGGCCCCCAAGUACUACACCGAAAGACGGAAUAUUACACAUUCACGUUCGCUGCCCCAGUUUUCUACACCGAGGAACCAAAGUAUUACUCUGCUUCAAGCUACUAUCAAACUGAGGCUCCUGUGCACUUCACCACCAGCAACGCCACUGAUUAUUACACGACAACUAAGGCUGCCCUCCACUACUCCACUGGUGCUCCGAAGUACUACAUCAUCAAGUCACUUAGCUAUCAAGGCCUGAUUGCAAUCAUGGUCAAUUUAGGCGUCGUGUUGCUGUGGGGGUUUAAUCGUUGAUUGCGUGUUGUAUCGUUGCUGGCUGAGUCCACCACUGGUCUACUGAUGUCUCCUGAGGAUGGUGGAGGCGAAAUCGCAGCGCCGUCGCCUAACCACAAGACAACGUGGAUGACAACCAGUUACUACACCAAGGCUUUGGACGACUAGUCGACUACCCUACAACCUACGCUGCUCCAAUUUACUACCUCGAGGCCAAAUAAUGUUACUCCACUCCCAGUUACUACACCGAGGCUCCAGUUUAUUACAUCACCGAGUAACACGCAGAGGAUCCCAAGCACUACACAAACACAUCACCAGAGUACUACACGACUACGUAUGCUGCUCAAGCUGACUACACCAAGGCUUCCAAGUUUUCUCUGCUACCAGCUACUACACCGAGGCCCCACCCUGCCCCUAGCUACACACUCGCAGCUGAGCCGGUCAAGUACUACCCAGCACCUACUUACUGCGCAGAGGCUGCCCUAACUACUACACCAUGAUCUACGCUGCUCCAGGCUACUACACUGAAGCUCUGUUAACUACAAGGCACUCGAGUAUGAAACCACUGCUUCCGCUUCUCCGACCUACUGCACCGAAGUAUUACUCUGCCCCGAAUUACUGCAACAUUAAGGCACUUGCAUAUUACAUCACAACCUACGCUUCCUGCCUACUACAAGAAAGCCUUUAAUGUGAGAUUUAAAAUGUUGUUUUAUGUUCAGAUUUUGUUACAUCUUAAUAAUUAUUGUUAAUUGAAAUUGAUCGUUAGUUUUAAAUGAGCAAACCGGAGAAAAUAAAAUUUUUAAUGCGA
Daphnia pulex (common water flea) is the source of this 3576-nucleotide long non-coding RNA. RefSeq lists it as uncharacterized. The transcript has 15 exons. NCBI's taxonomy places the organism in Eukaryota, Metazoa, Arthropoda, Branchiopoda, Diplostraca, Daphniidae. The record is from RefSeq and is a predicted model, not a curated record.